Molecule: ribosomal RNA, 257 nt
Filed under: uncultured bacterium
Lineage: Bacteria
Description: partial 16S ribosomal RNA
Rfam family: Bacterial small subunit ribosomal RNA
Source: RNAcentral
AUACUCCUACGGGAGGCAGCAGUCGAGAAUCUUUCACAAUGGGGGAAACCCUGAUGGUGCGACGCCGCGUGGGGGAAUGAAGGCCUUCGGAUUGUAACCUCCUGUCAUGUGGGAGCACAUUAAAAAGAUAGUACCACAAGAGGAAGAGACGGCUAACUCUGUGCCAGCAGCCGCGGUAAUACAGAGGUCUCAAGCGUUGUUCGGAAUCACUGGGCGUAAAGCGUGCGUAGGCUGUUUCGUAAGUCGUGUGUGAAAGG